RNAcentral lists this ribosomal RNA (517 nucleotides) under uncultured Staphylococcus sp. RNAcentral describes it as "bacterial SSU rRNA". It matches the Rfam family "Bacterial small subunit ribosomal RNA", at positions 8 to 507 of the family's 1533-position model. The record is from RNAcentral. Lineage: Bacteria; Bacillati; Bacillota; Bacilli; Caryophanales; Staphylococcaceae.
AGAGUUUGAUCCUGGCUCAGGAUGAACGCUGGCGGCGUGCCUAAUACAUGCAAGUCGAGCGAACAGAUAAGGAGCUUGCUCCUUUGAAGUUAGCGGCGGACGGGUGAGUAACACGUGGGUAACCUACCUAUAAGACUGGGAUAACUUCGGGAAACCGGAGCUAAUACCGGAUAACAUUUAGAACCGCAUGGUUCUAAAGUGAAAGAUGGUUUUGCUAUCACUUAUAGAUGGACCCGCGCCGUAUUAGCUAGUUGGUAAGGUAACGGCUUACCAAGGCGACGAUACGUAGCCGACCUGAGAGGGUGAUCGGCCACACUGGAGCUGAGACACGGUCCAGACUCCUACGGGAGGCAGCAGUAGGGAAUCUUCCGCAAUGGGCGAAAGCCUGACGGAGCAACGCCGCGUGAGUGAUGAAGGGUUUCGGCUCGUAAAACUCUGUUAUUAGGGAAGAACAAAUGUGUAAGUAACUGUGCACAUCUUGACGGUACCUAAUCAGAAAGCCACGGCUAACUACGUG